CCUUCGGGAACUGAACACAGGUGGUGCAUGGCUGUCGUCAGCUCGUGGCGUGAGAUGUUGGGUUAAGUCCCGCAACGAGCGCAACCCUCGUUUUUAGUUGCCAUCAUUCAGUUGGGCACUCUAGAGGGACUGCCGGUGACAAACCGGAGGAAGGUGGGGAUGACGUCAAGUCAGCAUGCCCCUUACGUCCUGGGCUACACACGUACUACAAUGGCUGCGGACAAAGGGUUGCAAGCUCGCGAGAGCAAGCUAAUCCCAUAAACCGUGGCUCAGUUCAGAUUGCAGGCUGCAACUCGCCUGCAUGAAGGAGGAAUCGCUAGUAAUCGCAGGUCAGCAUACUGCGGUGAAUACGUUCCCGGGCCUUGUACACACCGCCCGUCACACCAUGGAAGUUGGCCACGCCCGAAGUCAUUACUCCAACCGCAAGGAGGAGGAUGCCGAAGGCAGGGCUGAUGACUGGGGUGAAGUCGUAACAAGGUAA
Molecule: ribosomal RNA, 481 nt
Filed under: uncultured bacterium
Lineage: Bacteria
Description: bacterial SSU rRNA
Rfam family: Bacterial small subunit ribosomal RNA
Source: RNAcentral